GCCGCUGUGAGAAGAAAACCGCUUUGUCUGCCACUGUGGGGAGAGAGCUGUUUUAAAGCCGAGUCCUGGGAGUGAGUCAUUGUGGCAUAUGGAAGAUUGUGAAAUCUGGGAUUUGGCUGACUUUGAGGGCUUAUUGAGACAGGCAGGGUGCCAGAGCUUGCCGUGGGAUCUACACACAUGAAAAGAAUUCAACAUGAACCAACACAUCUGGCCCGUACAAUUACGACAUCACACAACAUAUGACCAUUCAGCCCCAUCUGUGAGAGGAAGUGUGUCUUUAAAUGAAAUGUAAUAAGAUUGAUGGGGUAUUUUGUAUAAACUAAGCAAAAAAAGAAAUGUCCCCUUUUCAGGACCCUGUCUUUCAAAGAUAAUUCCUUAAAAUCUAAAUACCUUCACAGAUCUUCAUUGUAAAGGGUUUUAAACACUGUUUCCCAUGCUUGUUCAAUGAACCAUACACAAUUACGGAACAUGCACUGUGGAACAGUCGUUAAGACACGAACAGCUUACAGACGGUAGGCAAUUAAGGUCAAAGUUAUGAAAACUUAGGACACUAAAAAGGCCUUUCUACUGACUCUGAAAAACACCAAAAGAAAGAUGCCCAGGGUCCCUGCUCAUCUGCGUGAACGUGCCUUAGUCAUGCUGCAAGGAGGCAUGAGGACUGAAAAUGUGGCCAGGGCAAUAAAUUCCAAUGUCCGUAUGGUGAGACGCCUAAGACAGCGCUACAGCGAGACAGGGCGGACAGCUGAUCGUCCUCGCAAUGGCAGACCACGUGUAACAACACCUGCACAGGAUUGGUACAUCCGAACAUCACACCUGCGGUACAGGAUGGCAACAACAACUGCCCGAGGUACACCAGGAACGCACAAUCCCUCCAUCAGUGCUCAGACUGUCUGCAAUUGGCUGAGAGAGGCUGGACUGAGGGCUUGUAGGCCUGUUGUAAGGCAGGUCCUCACCAGACAUCACCGGCCACAACAUCGACCAUGGGCACAAACUCACCGUCGCUGGACCAGACAAGACUGGCAAAAAGUGAUCUUCACUGACGAGUCACGGCUUUGUCUCACCAGGGGUGAUGGUCGGAUUCGCGUUUAUCGUUGAAGGCAUGAGCGUUACACCGAGGCCUGUACUCUGGAGCUGGAUCGAUUUGGAUGGGGAAGGUCCGUCAUGGUCUGGGGCGGUGUGUCACAGCAUCAUUGGACUGAGCUUGAUGUCAUUUCAGGCAAUCUCAACGCUGUGCGUUACAGGGAAGACAUCCUCCUCCCUCAUGUGGUACCCUUCCUGCAGACUCAUCCUGACAUGACCCUCCAGCAUGACACUGCCACCAGCCAAACUGCUCGUUCUGUGUGUGAUUUCCUGCAAGACAGGAAUGUGUUCUGCCAUGGCCAGCGAAGAGCCCGGAUCUCAAUCCCAAUGAGCACGUCUGGGACCUGUUGGAAUGGAGGGUGAGGGCUAGGGCCAUUCCCCCCAGAAAUGUCCGGGAACUUGCAGGUGCCUUGGUGGAAGAGUGGGGUAACAUCUCACAGCAAGAACUGACAAAUCUGGUUCAGUCCAUGAGGAGGAGAUGCACUGCAGUACUUAAUGCGGCUGGUGGCCACACCAGAUACUGACUGUUACUUUGAUUUUGACCCCCCCUUUGUUCAGGGACACAUUAUUCCAUUUCUGUUAGUCACAUGUCUGUGGAACUUGUUCAGUUUAUGUCUCAGUUGUUGAAUCUUGUUAUGUUCAUACAAAUAUUUACAUAUUUACAAAUAUACACAUGUUAAGUUUGCUAAAAAAUAAACGCAGUUGACAGUGAGAGGAUGUUUAUUUUUUGCUGAGUUUAGUUCAUAGAUUUUGCUGCAAUGCUAUAAGUAGGGAAAUUCUUUUUUUUCUGACCUUAAAGUGACCUCACUGGGAAAACUCAGUAACUGAUAACAGAGGGCUCGUUUAAGGCAAAAGCAACUGACUGUAGACAAAAGUCAAAGAGUGAAGUCAGCAACAUGCAUCUGCAACAGUUGAAAGUUAGACACUAUAGGGACAGAUCUAAAUUUACUGGGGGAGGGUUGUGUUUUUUAAAAUUUGGAUACAAGGUAGGGUAGUGCGUAUUUACAUUCACUCUUCUGUUCGUAUUUUCCUUGGUUUACAUUCACUCUUCUGUUCGUAUUUUCCCUAUAAACAAUAGCUUGACUUACCUUUUUAUAUUACCCUAAUAAAGUUUAGAAACGUUUGUGAA
Long non-coding RNA from Oncorhynchus nerka (sockeye salmon), 2209 nucleotides. RefSeq lists it as uncharacterized. NCBI's taxonomy places the organism in Eukaryota, Metazoa, Chordata, Actinopteri, Salmoniformes, Salmonidae. The record is from RefSeq and is a predicted model, not a curated record. The transcript has 2 exons.